GGGGUUGUGGUUUAAUGGUAGAGCGCUCACCUUGCAUGUGUGAGGCACUGGGUUCGAUACUCAGCACCA
Molecule: transfer RNA, 69 nt
Filed under: Urocitellus parryii (Arctic ground squirrel)
Lineage: Eukaryota; Metazoa; Chordata; Mammalia; Rodentia; Sciuridae
Also listed under: 1 other name
Description: Spermophilus parryii (Arctic ground squirrel) tRNA
Rfam family: tRNA
About the family: Transfer RNA (tRNA) molecules are approximately 80 nucleotides in length. Their secondary structure includes four short double-helical elements and three loops (D, anti-codon, and T loops). Further hydrogen bonds mediate the characteristic L-shaped molecular structure. tRNAs have two regions of fundamental functional importance: the anti-codon, which is responsible for specific mRNA codon recognition, and the 3' end, to which the tRNAs corresponding amino acid is attached (by aminoacyl-tRNA synthetases). tRNAs cope with the degeneracy of the genetic code in two manners: having more than one tRNA (with a specific anti-codon) for a particular amino acid; and 'wobble' base-pairing, i.e. permitting non-standard base-pairing at the 3rd anti-codon position.
Source: Rfam by way of RNAcentral